UGAGUGGGGCGUGCUAGGGGGUGAGAGGGUGCAGAGAGAGGGAGGGAGGGGGCUAGGUCUAGCCCUAGCCCCACGAGUGCGGGCGGGGUGGCAGCAGCGGGGGCAGGAGCGGGCCUCGGAGGCGGCCGCGUGUGGCAGCGGCGGAGCAGGGCGGUCACGAACCGGCCUCGGCGGGGCAGCGGUCUCGUGGAGGAACAGGAGAAGGGGCGGCCUAGCGGGGCUCGGGCCUCAGCGAGCUGGGGCUGCGGCCGUGGAGGGGGCUUGCCGCAGCACGGGGGUAGCGGCCGCUCUGACGGCGGUGGAGGGGCUCGGGUGACGGAAGGGGGACGUCGAGGGGAUGAUGCUCUGACUUCGGCGACGACCACGGGCUAGCUGAUGCAACAACUACUGGGGAGGAAGAACGGUCUCGUUGGUCGUUGGUCUACGACCUCGGGUCCUCGGUCUGCGGUGGCAACUGCUGCUGAGGAUGAUGUGGCCUCCACGGAUGAUGAUGCACGUCCGGCGACUGCUGCUGGUCCUCAUCAAUCCUCCUAGGUCCGUCCUCCGGACGCGGAGAAAGCUAGACAUAGGGUCAAACACGAUCGGUAGAAUACCGUUGAACAAAUUGAAUACAAGCAUGAGUCUAUAACAACGAAGGCGACUGAGCAGAUACUAGCUCGUGAACAUAAGCUCGGGAGCUCCGGGGACCGAACAUAAUACUACAAACACACUGAAUAAAUACAAAAUCUCAACACAACACUAUAGAAGGGCACUCAGGGACUAGAACUAGCAUGUACAAACGCACGUACUAAUCACAUACUAACUUAGCCCCCGCAGUGUGAUCCAUACUCCUUUGUUGUAGCUGAAGACCGAACUUCUUCUUUCCUCCCACGUUGUAGCUCGGAGGAGGUGUCUAGUUGUUACUUAUGUAGCUCUUCCGGGACUGGGUUGAGUUCCCUCGUCAAUACCUUCAACCCAUAGAAGAUUUUACAUAAGAAUACCAACAAUAAAGAA
Molecule: ribosomal RNA, 993 nt
Filed under: Triticum aestivum (bread wheat)
Lineage: Eukaryota; Viridiplantae; Streptophyta; Magnoliopsida; Poales; Poaceae
Description: partial small subunit ribosomal RNA
Source: RNAcentral